Non-coding RNA from Podarcis lilfordi (Lilford's wall lizard), 150 nucleotides. Lineage: Eukaryota; Metazoa; Chordata; Lepidosauria; Squamata; Lacertidae. The record is from the annotation of a GenBank genome assembly.
CUGAAAUGAAGUCCAUUGCUCUCAAUGGGUCUACAAUGAGUAUGACUGAUGCUAGAUCACUCAGUAUAUUUACAUUAAAGAAACUGUGUUUAGAUUGUGUGUUUGUGUGUGUGUGUGUGUGUGUGUGUGUGUGUGUGUACAGAUGUCAGA